Molecule: ribosomal RNA, 279 nt
Filed under: uncultured bacterium
Lineage: Bacteria
Description: partial 16S ribosomal RNA
Rfam family: Bacterial small subunit ribosomal RNA
Source: RNAcentral
UGCCAGCCGCCGCGGUAAUACGGAGGGGGUUAGCGUUGUUCGGAAUUACUGGGCGUAAAGCGCACGUAGGCGGAUUAGUCAGUCAGGGGUGAAAUCCCGAGGCUCAACCUCGGAACUGCCUUUGAUACUGCUAGUCUAGAGUUCGAGAGAGGUGAGUGGAAUUCCGAGUGUAGAGGUGAAAUUCGUAGAUAUUCGGAGGAACACCAAUUGCGAAGGCAGUUCACUGGACCGUGAUCGACGCUGAGGAGCGAAAGCUAGGGGAGCAAACAGGAUUAGAUA